CCAGUGUGUUCUCUAGAUAUCAAACGUGUUCCCCAAGUGUUAAACGUUAUUUUCUGGUGCAAUUAGGCUUAAAUAGUGUUCAUAUUCGUGUAGAGAAGCUGCGUUUUUUAGUCGCAGAAAUGUGGGGUGUUCGGUCUAUCUGUAGGGCCUUUUUGUCAACAUUCUAGAGUAUCAUGACUUUGCACUUUUUACCAUUUUCUAGUCCAAAUUGAAUUUCGGUGAUAUAUAAUUAAAAUACUGCACAAGGGUCAUCUUGCCUUUUCAUCAAAAAUCCGCAUUGUGCUAAACCAAAUAAACAAAAUAAAGCUACACAAAAUAUAAGGUUAAUCAAGAAGAUGAAAUCAUUAAAAACUUGCCUAAUCCUCCAAGAACAACUUAUUCAAAAAAU
Molecule: long non-coding RNA, 388 nt
Filed under: Medicago truncatula (barrel medic)
Lineage: Eukaryota; Viridiplantae; Streptophyta; Magnoliopsida; Fabales; Fabaceae
Description: lncRNA gene5409
Source: RNAcentral